ACACUUGUCUAGCAGGGGAGAUACCAUGAUUAUAAAAGUGGUUUUUUUGAGGUGAAGCUCAUGUAUUGGACUCUGAAUGUGCUGUCCCCUUUGAUUUCUUCAAAUAUGAAGAACUUGACUACAUAAUGUGUGGAAAUAUAUGUUCUUCCCCCAAAA
RNAcentral lists this small nuclear RNA (156 nucleotides) under Mus pahari (shrew mouse). Its description in RNAcentral is "predicted gene, 24038 (MGP_PahariEiJ_G0033881.1)". It matches the Rfam family "U1 spliceosomal RNA". From Rfam's summary of the family: U1 is a small nuclear RNA (snRNA) component of the spliceosome (involved in pre-mRNA splicing). The record is from RNAcentral. Lineage: Eukaryota; Metazoa; Chordata; Mammalia; Rodentia; Muridae.